Molecule: ribosomal RNA, 799 nt
Filed under: Lecanicillium fusisporum
Lineage: Eukaryota; Fungi; Ascomycota; Sordariomycetes; Hypocreales; Cordycipitaceae
Description: LSU rRNA
Rfam family: Eukaryotic large subunit ribosomal RNA
Source: RNAcentral
AAUUUGAAUAUCUGGUCCUCAGGCGCGCGCAGUUGUAAUAUGUAGAGGAUGCUUUUCGACAAAGGUGCCUUCCGAGUUCCCCUGGAGGCGGGACGCCAUAGAGGGUGAGAGCCCCGUCUGGUCGGAUACCGCGCCUCUGUAAAGCUCCUUCGACGAGUCGAGUAGUUUGGGAAUGCUGCUCAAAAUGGGAGGUAUAUGUCUUCUAAAGCUAAAUAUUGGCCAGAGACCGAUAGCGCACAAGUAGAGUGAUCGAAAGAUGAAAAGCACUUUGAAAAGAGGGUUAAAAAGUACGUGAAAUUGUUGAAAGGGAAGCGCCUAUGACCAGACUUGGGCCCGGUGAAUCAUCCAGCGUUCUCGCUGGUGCACUUUGCCGGGCACAGGCCAGCAUCAGUUUGGCGCGGGGGAUAAAGGCUUUGGGAAUGUGGCUCCCUCGGGAGUGUUAUAGCCCAUUGUGUAAUACCCUGCGCCGGACUGAGGUACGCGCAUUUGCAAGGAUGCUGGCGUAAUGGUCAUCAGCGACCCGUCUUGAAACACGGACCAAGGAGUCGUCUUCGUAUGCGAGUGUUCGGGUGUCAAACCCCUACGCGUAAUGAAAGUGAACGCAGGUGAGAGCUUCGGCGCAUCAUCGACCGAUCCUGAUGUUCUCGGAUGGAUUUGAGUAAGAGCAUACGGGGCCGGACCCGAAAGAAGGUGAACUAUGCCUGUAUAGGGUGAAGCCAGAGGAAACUCUGGUGGAGGCUCGCAGCGGUUCUGACGUGCGAAUCGAUCGUCAAAUAUGGCAUGGGGCGAAAGACUAAUC